AAUAAGCGGAGGAAAAGAAACUAACAAGGAUUCCCCUAGUAACUGCGAGUGAAGCGGGAAAAGCUCAAAUUUAAAAUCUGGCGGCUUAUAGUCGUCCGAGUUGUAGUCUGGAGAAGUGCUUUCCGCGCUGGACCGUGUACAAGUCCCUUGGAACAGGGCGUCAUAGAGGGUGAGAAUCCCGUCUUUGACACGGACUACCAGUGCUUUGUGAUGCGCUCUCAAAGAGUCGAGUUGUUUGGGAAUGCAGCUCAAAAUGGGUGGUAAAUUCCAUCUAAAGCUAAAUACAGGCGAGAGACCGAUAGCGAACAAGUACCGUGAGGGAAAGAUGAAAAGCACUUUGGAAAGAGAGUUAAACAGUACGUGAAAUUGCUGAAAGGGAAACGAUUGAAGUCAGUCGCGUUGUCUGGAAGUCAGCCUUGCAAUUUUGUUUGGUGUAUUUUUUAGAUUGACGGGCCAGCAUCGAUUUUGACCGUUGGAUAAAGAUGAGGGGAAUGUGGCACCUUCGGGUGUGUUAUAGCCCCUUGUCACAUACAACGGUUGGGAUCGAGGAACUCAGCACGCCUUUAUUGGUCGGGGUUCGCCCACGUUCGUGCUUAGGAUGCUGGCAUAAUGGCUUUAAACGACCCGUCUUGAAACACGGACCAAGGAGUCUAACAUACCUGCGAGUGUUUGGGUGGUAAACCCGAGCGCGUAAUUAAAGUAAAAGUUGAGAUCCCCGUUACAAGGGAGCAUCGACGCCCGGACUUGACCUUCUGUGAUAGCUCUGCGGUAGAGCAUGUAUGUUGGGACCCGAAAGAUGGUGAACUAUGCCUGAAUAGGGUGAAGCCAGAGGAAACUCUGGUGGAGGCUCGUAGCGAUUCUGACGUGCAAAUCGAUCGUCAAAUUUGGGUAUAGGGGCGAAAGAUAAUCCGAACCAUCUAGUAG
Molecule: ribosomal RNA, 924 nt
Filed under: Fibroporia gossypium
Lineage: Eukaryota; Fungi; Basidiomycota; Agaricomycetes; Polyporales; Fibroporiaceae
Description: eukaryotic LSU rRNA
Rfam family: Eukaryotic large subunit ribosomal RNA
Source: RNAcentral